UACGGAGGGUGCAAGCGUUGUCCGGAUUUAUUGGGUUUAAAGGGUGCGUAGGUGGGGUGUCAAGUCUGGUUUGAAAGUUAGCUGCUCAACAGUUAGACGUGGAUGGAUACUGGGAUUCUGGAAUGGGGUGGCGGCUGCCGGAACGGGUCAUGUAGCGGUGAAAUGCAUAGAUAUGACCCAGAACACCGAUUGCGAAGGCAGGUAGCUACGCCCUUAUUGACACUGAGGCACGAGAGCAUGGGUAGCGAACAGG
RNAcentral lists this ribosomal RNA (253 nucleotides) under uncultured bacterium. RNAcentral describes it as "partial 16S ribosomal RNA". It matches the Rfam family "Bacterial small subunit ribosomal RNA", at positions 524 to 776 of the family's 1533-position model. The record is from RNAcentral.